AUUCCAGCUCCAAUAGCGUAUAUUAAAGUUGUUGCAGUUAAAAAGCUCGUAGUUGAACUUCAGACCUGGCCGGGCGGUCCGCCUUCUGGCGUGUUACUGUCUGGCCGGGCCUUACCUCUUGGUGAGCCUGCAUGCCCUUUACUGGACGUGUAGGAGAACCAGGACCUUUACCUUGAGAAAAUUAGAGUGUUCAAAGCAGGCAUACGCCCGAAUACAUUAGCAUGGAAUAAUAAAAUAGGACGUGCGGUUCUAUUUUGUUGGUUUCUAGAGUCGCCGUAAUGAUUAAUAGGGAUAGUUGGGGGCAUUAGUAUUCAGUUGCUAGAGGUGAAAUUCUUGGAUUUACUGAAGACUAACUACUGCGAAAGCAUUUGCCAAGGAUGUUUUCAUCG
RNAcentral lists this ribosomal RNA (389 nucleotides) under Hyphodontia sp. RNAcentral's name for it is "partial small subunit ribosomal RNA". It matches the Rfam family "Eukaryotic small subunit ribosomal RNA", at positions 582 to 975 of the family's 1831-position model. Lineage: Eukaryota; Fungi; Basidiomycota; Agaricomycetes; Hymenochaetales; Schizoporaceae. The record is from RNAcentral.